GGCACCACCUGAAAUGGGAAUCCGGCCAACUCCUGGAGUUGCUGUUGUCGGCGACGUCGCUGACAUGUUGCUGCACUUCCCUCCCCAACCAGUUGCUGCUGACUUGCCGAGAAUGAAGACUCGUUGAGGGAGCACAUAAAGUUUUUGGAGCAACAAGGAGCAGUAGGUCUUAUCUUCCAAAACAGCAGUCUUGGCUAGGUUGACUGCUAGUUUGGUUGCGUUGAACACUCAGAAAGCAUGCAUGUUCCUUUGGCAUGGCCAUGAUGGCCAUGCAGUUUUACAAGAAUGCAUCUGCAUCCGACUAUGGAUUUUGUGAAUGGGUUGCCCAUGCAGUAUAGCCAAAGGAGUUGCCCUGAGAAGGGCACCGUGAGCUCAGAGAUCCCUGAG
Lolium rigidum is the source of this 387-nucleotide long non-coding RNA. RefSeq lists it as uncharacterized. Lineage: Eukaryota; Viridiplantae; Streptophyta; Magnoliopsida; Poales; Poaceae. The transcript is spliced from 3 exons. The record is from RefSeq and is a predicted model, not a curated record.